This is a non-coding RNA of Podarcis lilfordi (Lilford's wall lizard), 73 nucleotides long. Lineage: Eukaryota; Metazoa; Chordata; Lepidosauria; Squamata; Lacertidae. The record is from the annotation of a GenBank genome assembly.
GCCUCUAUAGCUCAGUCGAUAGAACAGGAGACUCUAAAGCUUAGGGUCGUAGGUUCGAGCCCCACAUUGGGCA